Long non-coding RNA from Peromyscus leucopus (white-footed mouse), 1581 nucleotides. RefSeq lists it as uncharacterized. The record is from RefSeq and is a predicted model, not a curated record. The transcript has 3 exons. NCBI's taxonomy places the organism in Eukaryota, Metazoa, Chordata, Mammalia, Rodentia, Cricetidae.
GUACGUUGGGGUCGCUUAUGCCUGGUGAGUAAGUCCAAUACACGCAUGGGUUCCCCACUUUGGACUCUGUCUGGCUGAUACCCUAUGAGGAGAGGUAGCCGUUUGUUGGUGCCUACCCAGGGAUGCCGCGGAGAGCUCCCAGUGUUCACACAGUCUUCUGGGCGACUCGGAAGUGGCAGAGGGUAGAGGCCUUGUCUGUUUUGUCUCUGCUGAGCCCCAACUUCUAACUACACUUGGUCCCCGCAGCUGAUGGCCAGAUUAGCACCGUGAGCUUCACUGUUCAAAGCUGCAGAGGGCAAAGCAGGGGCAUCAGUUAGAUGGUCACCGUGCCCCAUGCCCUAAUGGCAUCUGAAUGACUGGGAUUGGCCACAUGCUUGCAUCCUGCAGGAGCAGCAGCUCACAGCUGGGGACUGACAUGCUGGUAGGAACCCACAGGCCUUUUAUGCUUUAAAUGGCCACAGAUGUCCUGUGAAGGAAGUCUCUCCAUUUUAUAAAUGAGCAAACCAAGGCACAGAGAUCAACUGUGAACUCAGGUGCUACGUAGUGAAGCUGCGGUUGGAAACCAGGUAUCCCAAGGUCAUAAACAUUGUACCUGCGUCCUCUUUCAGAGACUACCAGGUCACCUGCUGUCUGAGACACUUCUGUGCUUCUGGAUUUUGACAGACAUUGUCAAUCCACUCUCCACUCAUCACUCAGUUCCAAGUGGCUCACAGACAGAAAGGAGGCACCAGCUAAUGAAGACAAAUCCACAGAUCAAUAGAAAUGUGGUUGCCGGUGUGGAAACCCUGUGGCCCCUGACCUCGAAUGAGGCGCUCUGGAUAGGAGGAGGGAUGGAUGAGACAUGGACCCCAGAAGAAUGUCUACUCUUCUUUUUCCUUUGUGGUUUGGCGAUGGAAGCCAGGGCCCGGUGCGUGCGAGGCAAGCGCUCCACCAUGGAGCUGCACCCCAGGUCUCCCUCCUGAGUAAUCGGGUACAGCAAUACCGAAAGACUGCCAGAAACGAGGGCUGGGGACUGUGGCAAACCGAGAACACGCCACCAUUAAAAGGGGGUGCUGUUGUUGCCUCCGAGAGGGCGGCAUUGGCAGACCUUCUGAUUUUUAAAAGGAAGCCAGAACUCCAUUCUUUUUUUUUUUUUUUUUAAAGUGAGAAUUCUCUGCAGUUAAAAAAAAAAAAAUUGACAGUGCAUUUUAAGUAGCUAGCCAGAUCAGGUCACUGCUAGAUUGUAACCUGUCACAUAGGUGGUGUCUCAGCCCCCACGGACAGGUGACAUUCUACCUCCUAACAUGGAUGCCCUCCUGCUCUGCCUUGUCUUUCAUCUGCUACAGCCAGCCGGGGCCCCAGCGCCUACAUAUCCUCCCAGGUACUCUGAAGGCUGUGGGGACUCGGGUACCAGGGUGCCAGCCAAUGUGACAAAAGCGGACAGGUCAGAGUCCACAGGGGAAGUGUGCUGCUGUGUGUGUGUGUGCUCCAAGGAGCUUCCAAACUGCUAAUUUCUCAGGAACAGAGAAGGGAAGGAAGGAGGCAGAGCAACAGCUGGCUCUGGGCAGUGAGCAAUCCUGUCUGAAAAUAAAACAUUUUACA